Long non-coding RNA from Bombina bombina (fire-bellied toad), 352 nucleotides. RefSeq lists it as uncharacterized. Lineage: Eukaryota; Metazoa; Chordata; Amphibia; Anura; Bombinatoridae. The transcript is spliced from 3 exons. The record is from RefSeq and is a predicted model, not a curated record.
GAAUGACUGCCAUGACCUUCUCUGUAGCAACCUCUUUUACCAUCUGCACAGAGAUAUAUAUAGCCUAGGGCGGUGGAUACACACAUUUAAAAGAAAACUGCUUUCCAUAUGAGUCUAUGAGAAUCAACAUUUUAAUGUUACAGUUUCAUGCUUUAAAUGGACAUAAAACAUCUUGAAACUACAAGAUUUUUCUGCAGUAUUGCACGCAAGCACGCAGGUGCUCCCGCUACCAGACCAGAGUGGAAGCAUGCUACAGUCAGCUCAAUAGCGCGAUUGGGUGUGCUGUGAUAAGACAGGGCGCCCGAGAAGGGCUUUUGAAGCAGAAGACAUGAUCAGAAGAUCCUGGAGAGGA